Molecule: long non-coding RNA, 834 nt
Filed under: Gallus gallus (chicken)
Lineage: Eukaryota; Metazoa; Chordata; Aves; Galliformes; Phasianidae
Description: long non-coding RNA NONGGAT003313
Source: RNAcentral
AGUUGAUAGGGCUGAACCUUUCAGCAAGCUUCAGUCUGCCAUUCACACCCUCUUCUAAGGCACUGAUGCACACGGAAAUAACACUAUGGAGCCUUUAGGACCCUCGCUCUUCAUUUGGAGUGGAGAUUCAGAUACCAAGGCAGGAUUUUUCCUUUCUAGCAGUAUGCACACCCUGGUUUUAAAACACUGCACAAGCGCUUUGAACACUGCAGAGUUAAAACAAAUGGAUUAUAUUUUAUCCUUAACCAGAAACUCAGUCUAAAUCAAGGCAGCUGUUUCUGAAGUGUCCUUUCACCUGGAAUUUCCUCACCAUCUCCUCCUCAUCUUCCAAAGGCUGAGGAAAACUCACAGUAUAUUAUUGAGGUCAAUACAUUUAGAACAAUUUUUCUCAUGAUUUACGUGCUAUAUUUUGCCUCAGUUCUGCUAGAGAGAAUAGCUGCUUUUUUUUUCUGGGCACCAGGCCCAGUUUAUUCUUAAUUUUGUCUACAGAUUGUACAGUUUCCCAGAUACCAUACCAGAGAUGAGCAUUUUAUAAGUUAAUAAAACAAUAAAUAAAACAAAGUAUGUUCUCAUAUCCCCAAGUAAUAACUGGAACUUUAAAAGCCUUGCCUUGUUUUAUAGAAGCUUUUCUAUGUUAUUGUUACUGCAUAAAAAUAUACCAAAUUAUUUCAAAUGCUAAAAAAUAAGGUCAAUAAUUUGUAGGGAAUAGUUCAAAUGUGAUGUUUCAUUUCUUAAACAAACAGUUCCACUGUUGAAGGUGUUACAUAUUAGUUGUAUUACAGUUCACAUAAUUAUACUGUAUUUUUAGAAUAAAAAGAAGAAAAACUUACCGUG